This 503-nucleotide ribosomal RNA is filed under the name uncultured bacterium. RNAcentral's name for it is "bacterial SSU rRNA". It matches the Rfam family "Bacterial small subunit ribosomal RNA", at positions 29 to 527 of the family's 1533-position model. The record is from RNAcentral.
AGCGAACGUUUGCGGCGGGCUUAACACAUGCAAGUCGAACGAGAAUCCCUUCGGGGAGGAAAGUGGCGCACGGGUGCGUAACACGUGGAUAACCAACCCAUUGGUUUGGGACAACACCGGGAAACUGGUGCUAAUACCAGAUGUGUCGCAGCUGUCUUCAGGCGGUUGCGAGAAAGGCCCGCAAGGGUCGCCAACGGACGGGUCCGCGUCCCAUCAGCUAGUUGGUGAGGUAAUGGCUCACCAAGGCAAAGACGGGUAGCUGGUCUGAGAGGAUGAUCAGCCACACUGGAACUGAGACACGGUCCAGACUCCUACGGGAGGCAGCAGUGGGGAAUAUUGCGCAAUGGGCGAAAGCCUGACGCAGCCACGCCGCGUGAGCGAUGAAGGUCUUCGGAUCGUAAAGCUCUGUGGGGGGAGAAGAAGAAAGCCGGUGAAGAGCCGGCCCUGACGGUANCCCCUUAGCAAGCACCGGCUAACUCCGUGCCAGCAGCCGCGGUAAAGUG